Molecule: long non-coding RNA, 4100 nt
Organism: Oreochromis aureus
Lineage: Eukaryota; Metazoa; Chordata; Actinopteri; Cichliformes; Cichlidae
Source: Ensembl
UGAACAUCAACAAAAAAGAUAAAGAACUGAUAAUUACUAAAGUUGUGGUGAGGAAGUGACGACUGACAAAUAACAGGAAGUACAAACAGUCUUAAAGAGUCAACAGCUCAGAGACUGUGACAGUCGAGAUCGAGAACAAGAAAGAAGUGAGACAGAGAAGCACGAUGGAUGAAUUCAGAUGGAUUCAAAUGUUUUUAUGUCUGAUGAUUCAGAUUGCAGUAUCUGUAAAUGAAACAUCCAUGUUUAUGAAAGUUGGAGAUGACGUCACUCUGCUUUGUGUAAAUGUGAUAGAUGAGCAGAAUAACUGUGAUGGUACUACGUGGACCUUUACUUCAAGACACAAACCAACAACAGUAGAGCUGAUCACACUUGGACAGAUUGGUGAAGAAGCCAAAACUAAAUCAGACAGACUGAGUGUUACAGCGAACUGUUCUCUGCUUAUAAAGAAGUUCACAGUUGAGGAUGUUGGUUUUUAUUACUGUCAACAAUACAAAGUCGAGGAAACACCAUCUAAUCACACUCUGGUUCAUCAGUCUCAGGUUCAUCUCUCUGUUAUUACCUUGACUGAACAUAAGGACACUGAUAAGGUGACGUUAAGCUGCUCUGUGGUGACAUAUGCAGAGUGUCAUCACACAGUGAAGUGGCUGCUUAAAGGUCAAGCUGUGGACAAAGAGAACAAAGAAACAGUGACUUCACAGACUGACUGCUCCACCACUGUAUCUAUUCUGAAGUAUGAGUAUUUAUACUCAUCACGUCAUAAAAUACUGAAGUGUGAAGUGACUGAUACUAAAACAGGAAAAGUGCAGCUGUUUACCUUCAGCCAUCAGACCUCAGGUGAGGAAACAGAUGAUACAACAGCAAAAACUGUGGAAAAUGAAAGCACGACACCAAACAACAAAUCAUCUGCAAAUUCACAACAUGGUGUCCUGUGGUUCAUCAUUCCAGCUGUGGGUUUGGUCUCACUCUUGAUAGUUGUUGUGUUUUUCAUCAGAGGGAAGAGAACUAGAGGAAACAAAACACAGAUGGAUGAAGAUGCUGGACUGUGUUUAAUCCCUGCAGACACUCGGUCUGCUCCUCAAACCAGUCAGGACUCGAUUCGGGGUGAUGAUGACAAUGAUGUGACCUACUGCACUGUGAAGGCUCCUUUGUCUUCUGCUGCAGCCACUGCUGAUCCCGACAACCUCUACUCUACUGUCACCUUUCCAAUCACAUAGCACAAGCAGCUCACAAAAGGACUUGUAUAUAAUGGAAAAUCCUUUUUUUCAAUUUCACAUGGAGCAGCAUGGUAGCAACAUGCUAAUUAGCUGUUUUUUUAAAACCCAUAUAUAAAUAUAUGUCUACUUUUUUAAUGAAAAUAUAAUUGGUGCCUGGAAUACUUUACGUAAGUUAUGAGCUGUAGCAGAUGCUCCAAAAGAAGGCUGGCUAGAUAGAAAAUAUACAACCAUUACAUCAAACACUGGCAUUCCUGGCAGCUGGACUGCUACAUGACCCACAGCGUUCAAAGUCACGGUCCAAGGGCUUUGUGUUGCAUUUGAGUUUUGAAUCCCUGUCUCUGUCAUUCUAGUAAUGCUGAGCUUUAGUUUUUGUUGUAUUAUUUGAGUGCUUUACUUCCUCGUUCCUGCAUUUAAUUUUCUUGAAUUCUUGGCUUUUAUUUAGUGUUGGUGCCUAUUUUGAGAAUUUCUUCUUGUGUUUCUAGUUCCCUCGUGUUCCCUCUGUCUCAUCUAUGUGUUUGUAUCCUCUGUAAUCAUGUUUAGCCCUGUCUUUUCUUUUUUUCCUGUUUUAGUUAGUUAGUUAGCUUUCCUUUAGUCGUCCUAUUUAGCCAAAUAAAAUAACUCUCUUUGCUGUUUUUCCUGCAUUUGUGUCCUGUUCACAUCGACUCUAUGACAUUCACUUGUCAGUAUUCCUUUCAUUAAAUUUAAUAUGUAAUAUAAGUGUAUAUGUCUUUUAACCCAUUUGUUUAACGUCUUUCUUUAUGGAAGAGAGAUAUUUUAUAUUGUAUGAAAUCACUAAACUGAUCAACCAACACAAUAGAAGCACCUGUUUAUUUUAUUAUUGUUAUUGUUUACUUUAUACUCAAAAACAUUACUAACCCUCAAAAUCUCAAGAACUUAUUUUGACUUUAAAGGUUUAUUCAUUCAAAUAAUUUAUCAUUAUAGAAUGUGUUUGGUUAGGGUGACCAACCGUCCUCUUUUCCCCGGACUUGUCCACUUUUCACGUUCUGUCCGGGGCGUCCGGGGGGAUUUUCGAGAUUGAUAAAAAUGUCCGGGUUUCCUAGGCCUACAGAGGACCCGUGUGUGACGUCAUCCCCGAGCUGCUGCUUUGUGAGCGCUUGUUCUGCCCUCACAGACAGGACAGACAGCGCGUAGCAACACGCCUAAUGAUGUUUAAAAGAUCCCAAAGCGCAACUCCUUUUUUUGCACUUGUUGACUUGUAAAAGCCUAUAUGACAUUUUUUAUUUCACAAUUCAUUAACAGCACAGAGAAGGCAUCAUGUUAAAUAUGUUAAAUAUGUUUCUUUAAGCAAGUUCUUCAUGACUGAGCCAAGUGUCCUCUUUUUUGGAAAUCAAAAUAUGUCACCCUAUGUUUGGUCUAUACCUGAAUAUACCAAACAAAUAAAUUUCAUUUGACCAGAUUACAUUAAAUUUAAUAUUUUAAAUUUUAUUUGUGCAAGAAAAUUACACGCAAAAGUUACAUAUAUUUAAAUUAAUCAAAGUCAGCAUCUCAGGCACAUGUUGUUUGUUUUUACACGUUUGUAUGUAUUUAUGUUAAGUCACGUGUCAGACAGCUUCACUUUUCUUUCUCAGGUUCAGGAUGAUGACAAAGAUGAUGCAUACAGCACUGUGAAGGCUCCUUCCUCUUCUGCUGCAGCCACUGCUCAUCCCAGCAACAUCUACUCUACUGUCAGUUUUCCAGCCAUAUAGUUCAAAUAUUAUACAAAAAGGAUUUCAAAGACUAUUUUUGUUUUGAUUUCUCAUGGAGAAAUUUGUUAGCAAUAUGCUAAAUGGCUUAAAAUAUUCCUGUUAGAUUGCCUAAAUGUGACACAGAGAUGUGCAACAGACUGUUUAACUUAAUAUGUCUAAAAAAGAAACACCUGUUACUGUGAGAGUGCCGGCUGUAUUAUUGUCCUAUAGAAGAAUGCUGUUUUCUUUUGUCUAUAAAUAUAUCAAAAAUGUAUUUUUGCAUUUUUGUAAUAAAAAUAUAGUUGAUGCCUGGUUUAUUUUCACAAGGUUAUGAAGUGAAGACAAGACUGGGUGGAUGAAAAACAUACAGCUAUUACACCAGAUACAAGGCAGUUUCUCAAUAUAAACUUUGUCUCUCAGUACAUGGUAAACUUUUGCUGUAUGAAACCAGACCAGUGUCUUUCUAUCUAACCACAAAAACUUUAUAUAGACAUUAAUGUUGUUAGUAAUCAGAAACAUAUGGUGGUUAAAAUUUCAUUACAAAUCUGUUUGUUGUUUCAGUUUAAGCCAGUAAAAUAAACUGAGGAAAGAUGGCAGCUGGCCUGCAGCGUUCAGCGUCAUCAUCCUCUGGGUUUAUGUUGUAUUUGAGGUUUGGAUUCCUGUUUUGAUGUCUUUAGCAUUCUGGUGAUGCUGAGCUUUAAUUUUGUUUUAUUAUUUGAGUUUUUGAGUUCUGGUUGGUGUUUAGUUUUUAUUGAGUUUUGGUGCCUAUUUGGAGUAUUUUUUUGUGUGUUUUUACUUCAUGUCCCAUUUACGUACUUGUACCCUUUCUCUUAUCAUGUUUUGUGGGAUUUCUAGUUUUAGUUGUCUUUCCUGUUUUCCUUUGAAGGUGACUUUAAUUCUCUGUGUUAAUUGCUUCUUUCUGCUGGGAUCUUCUGCUCUGCCCUAAAUGUUUUCACCUGUGUGUAAUUACAUUCAUCCCCUCCGAAUCAUCAUCAUUCAUCAGUUAUAGUCCUGUCUUCGUUUUCUCUUUGUCUCUGGCCAGCUGUCUCUCACUUGUUAUCUAAGCCUUAGUGGUUUCCCUGUAGUUUGGAUGUUGGUUUGUGACUAUUUGUCUUUUUUUGGACUUAUUGAACAUAUUCAGCCAAAUACAAAAGCUCACUUUGGUUUACUUCUGUAUUUGGGUCCUAAAACCAACUAAUCC